GGAAACAAGAGAAACCACAUAUUCCAGAAGGCCUCCCUCCUUCAGUUGAAAAUGUCCUUCGUGGUUGCUUUGACUAUGACUUCAGGAAUCGACCGUUAAUGACAGACAUUUUACGUGUUUUCAAAAGCUCGCAGAAUGCAAUUUAUGGUGAUGGAGGCUGGACAGGACUUGGGAGCGAAACAACCUCAGACAAAUCAAGUGGCAAUGGUUACUCGGAGUGGUUUCUUUUGAAGGAUCAUCUGCUAGUGGGAGACAUGGUGCGUUCUAGAAAGCCAAC
This 277-nucleotide unclassified non-coding RNA is filed under the name Hevea brasiliensis (rubber tree). Lineage: Eukaryota; Viridiplantae; Streptophyta; Magnoliopsida; Malpighiales; Euphorbiaceae. The record is from RNAcentral.